This 301-nucleotide ribosomal RNA is filed under the name uncultured bacterium. RNAcentral describes it as "partial 16S ribosomal RNA". It matches the Rfam family "Bacterial small subunit ribosomal RNA", at positions 509 to 808 of the family's 1533-position model. The record is from RNAcentral.
CAGCCGCCGCGGUAAUACGGAGGGCGCGAGCGUUACCCGGAUUUACUGGGCGUAAAGGGCGUGUAGGCGGCCUGGGCGUCCCAUGUGAAAGGCCACGGCUCAACCGUGGAGGAGCGUGGGAUACGCUCAGGCUAGAGGGUGGGAGAGGGUGGUGGAAUUCCCGGAGUAGCGGUGAAAUGCGCAGAUACCGGGAGGAACGCCGAUGGCGAAGGCAGCCACCUGGUCCACUUCUGACGCUGAGGCGCGAAAGCGUGGGGAGCAAACCGGAUUAGAUACCCGCGUAGUCCCUGUCUCUUAUACA